GACACCGGAAGAGGACGGACCUAAGAUGGCGGCCUCCAGGGGGCUGGGAAUAGCCGCUCAUGUCGGCUAACGGAGUGGUGUGGGGCCGCGUGCGAAGCCGCCUCCACGGCCCCGGGCGGCCGCCUGAGUAAGGACUUUUGCGCGCGGGAGUUCGAGGCCCUGCGGAGCUGCUUCGCCGCCGCGGCCAAGAAGACGCUGGAGGGAGGCUGUUAGGAGGGACUCUGAGCUUCACACCUGUCUGCUGCCAUGGGUGCAGAGCCCUAGUCCUGAUGGCCCCU
This 278-nucleotide small RNA is filed under the name Pan troglodytes (chimpanzee). Its description in RNAcentral is "processed transcript". The record is from RNAcentral. Lineage: Eukaryota; Metazoa; Chordata; Mammalia; Primates; Hominidae.